UUUUCUUCUUCUGAGGCGUUUCUCCGACCUUCCUCGCCUUUCGAAGGGAAAUCUUUUAAAAUCUGAUCCCAUAAUCCUUUGCAUAAGGGUGGAGUCGGUGCAACGGAAUGGAGCUGAGUGUUUACUGGCCGGAUGCCCUUCCUGUCACCAAUGCAGAGUUGGCAGCAGAUAUAUAUACUCAUUGUGCCCAGAGAGAGAAAUAUCUGCUGCUACCUAGGAUCGAACUCACAGCCGCCUGAUUAAAACCGCUCCAUCAAUCCUUUGACCGCCAAAAGAAGAACUACAGAUUUAAGCUCUUAAAUAAAAGUGUUGCGGUGAAGAAGAAGAAGAAAAAAAAGUA
Non-coding RNA from Pantherophis guttatus, 340 nucleotides. The record is from RefSeq and is a predicted model, not a curated record. Lineage: Eukaryota; Metazoa; Chordata; Lepidosauria; Squamata; Colubridae.